AACGAACGUUAGCGGCGCGCUUAACACAUGCAAGUCGCACGAGAAAGGGCUUCGGCCCCGGUAAAGUGGCGCACGGGUGAGUAACACGUGGGUAAUCUGCCCUCGAGCGGGGGAUAACAUCUCGAAAGGGAUGCUAAUACCGCAUAAGACCACAGCCUCGAAAGAGGCAGCGGUCAAAGCAGGCCUCUGUAUACAAGCUUGCACUUGAGGAUGAGCCCGCGGCCCAUCAGCUAGUUGGCAGGGUAACGGCCUACCAAGGCGACGACGGGUAGCUGGUCUGAGAGGAUGAUCAGCCACACUGGAACUGAGACACGGUCCAGACUCCUACGGGAGGCAGCAGUGGGGAAUCUUGCGCAAUGGGCGAAAGCCUGACGCAGCGACGCCGCGUGGGUGAUGAAGGCCUCGGUUGUAAGGACUCUGUGGGAGGAGACGAA
Molecule: ribosomal RNA, 434 nt
Filed under: uncultured bacterium
Lineage: Bacteria
Description: bacterial SSU rRNA
Rfam family: Bacterial small subunit ribosomal RNA
Source: RNAcentral